CAGGACGUCUUUGCAGAGCCGGCGCUGGAAGCGGGGGGACGGGUUGACAUGACUCAGGGGUGGCCGACGUGGGGAGACGGGGCUGGGGCCACCUCUCAGCCUGAGGGACAUGUCUCCAACCCAGCAGCCAGGCUGAGCUUCUCACCAGGACCAGAGAUGUGAAAGAUGCUCAGCACUUCCCCUGCUCCCAAGCUGCCGUUGGGAACCAGCACAGUGAUGGAGAAUCCCACGGGACACCCUUCUUCUGUUGGCACUGCUUCAGCUCUCAGGGGUGAGGAAAGAACCCACAGCCCUGCUUCACACCAAAAAAAAACCCACAGAGUCCAAGGGUGCCCCUCACCUGGAUGCCUGGACCCAUUCCCAGCCCUUCUGCCCUUGAAGACGUGAGCCAGGAUGUCCAAUCCAAUUUAAAUUGCUGCAGCAAGAAGAGCUCUUUUCUUUCAUCUUUUUUUUUCUUUUUCCCACCCUUUUUUCAUUGACACAACAAACCAAACAGGGCCAACGCUGACCCUUGACCAGCGCUCCGUCAUGAUGUUUUUUUCUCACGGUCAAACCAAGAACCUCGGGUUCUUGCAUAACCAGGUACUUGGGAAAAGAAAGAUUUCUUUCUUUCUUUAAAACACACCCCUGUUCUGGCUCCUCCAGCUUCCCGCUUUCCCCUUUCACAACCUGGCAGGGUUUGGUAGCCUUCUCAGUGAAAGAGACACGUCUUGUAGCCCCAAGGACCACUAAAAAGAAGGAGAAGGAGAAAGGAGACUCCCCGGAUCCCAUCACCAGCUGCAGACACAUGUGUUGGUGGAAGGGGAAGGGACGGGGAGGAAAGAGGAUGGUGCCUCUGGUCACGUGCAGGACCCCGUUUUUGAGGAAUUGAAAGCGUGUUAAAUCUGCAAGAUUUCAAACAAAAAAACCAAACCCAAGGAUGCUUCUGCAUUUUAGGAAGCGGCCGUUGCAGUCAUGCCCCUGAGGGCUGGGCAGGCUUGCAGGAGGCUCUCGAGGGAGUCCUGGGGGUGAUAGCCAUCCCUGCAGCCAUCGGGGGGAAAAUUGGGGCACACUGGGCACGGGUUUGGCCCACGACUGGGUGGGGAGCAGGGAUCCCAGCCUCAUCCCAGAGCCUGCUGCCUUUGCCCUGGCAGCCAUGGGGUGAGGAACUAGUGAGGUUUGGGCUUUGUUUAGCAUUUGUCUGUUUGGGGGCGAGGGGGACUUAUCACCAAACCUUGGUGGUUUUGGUAGAUCUGUGUAUUUCUUUGGUGCAUUUCUGGUGGGGGAAUCCCCCGUGACACAGGGUCGGGGUAUCUGCGGGACUGCAGCCAACACCAGAUGAGCCACCUUCGCUCACCGUGGAGGCAGGUCCUCUCUGUCUCAGGGCCUGGCUCCACAGAGAAGAGCUGCUGUGUGUCAAUCCCAAUUUUCUUCCCAGUGCAGAGGGCCUUUUUACUCCCCCACUGGAAGGGGACCAAGCCGCGCUGCAGAAGAACGCUUGGUGCAGGACAAGGCAAAGGGGGCUUCUGCAGCUUUGAACUCAGUCCCCAGUGCUGUGCAGGAGCUCCAUGAGGAGCUCCACUUCUUCCUAAAUUCCUUAAUUUUAACUUCUUUUCAAACAGCUUUUUACAUGUGCAGCUGAGGAGAUAUCUGGUAUUGGGGAAAGGUGGGAAGAUUUUGGACAACAUAUUGACAAGCAUCUUAUAAACAAAUGUAAUGACCCAGUGUCCAUAGAAGGAGUGGUGUCAAAGUCUGACACUUGCUGGGAAAGCCUCUCUCAGCCUGAUGAUACUGCUUGGGAAUGGGCAUGCGUGAGUCUCGUGCUGCCCAGAGCAAAGGUCCAAAGAUCAGGAUCUUAAUCAGAGGAACAAAGCUCCAGUCACUCAAAGACUUCAGCCCUGCCCAGAGCUCCCAAACAACUCAGGUCCUUGGGAAUGGGAAAACCCCAGCAGAGAUUUGCUGGACUCCCAGAGGAUUACAGAAUGACUAAACCUGUUAGGUCACCCAAAUGAUCUGCUUCCUUUUAUGGUCAAAAUCAAGCGUCAGAAUCACAGGUUUCCUCUUUCCUUAGAACUGGGCUUUCUUGAUACCACAAAUCCUUCUUGCAAUGCUAAAAUUAAAUGUCUGAAAGCA
This is a long non-coding RNA of Calidris pugnax (ruff), 2112 nucleotides long. RefSeq lists it as uncharacterized. Lineage: Eukaryota; Metazoa; Chordata; Aves; Charadriiformes; Scolopacidae. The record is from RefSeq and is a predicted model, not a curated record. The transcript has 2 exons.